UUCUAAUUGAAGCUGAUGUAACAGCAACUGCAGCCGACAUGGAAAGAAAUGGAUUACCGGAUUCACCCGCACUGAUCUUUCAAGGUGAAUCCAUGACCCCAAGCAAG
This is a long non-coding RNA of Sinocyclocheilus rhinocerous, 107 nucleotides long. RefSeq lists it as uncharacterized. Lineage: Eukaryota; Metazoa; Chordata; Actinopteri; Cypriniformes; Cyprinidae. The record is from RefSeq and is a predicted model, not a curated record. The transcript is spliced from 3 exons.